CCUACGGGGUGCAGCAGUGGGGAAUAUUGGACAAUGGGCGAAAGCCUGAUCCAGCCAUGCCGCGUGUGUGAAGAAGGCCUUCGGGUUGUAAAGCACUUUCAGUGGGGAAGAAAGCCUUGGGGCUAAUACCCUCGAGGAAGGACAUCACCCACAGAAGAAGCACCGGCUAACUCCGUGCCAGCAGCCGCGGUAAUACGGAGGGUGCGAGCGUUAAUCGGAAUUACUGGGCGUAAAGCGCGCGUAGGCGGUCUGAUAAGCCGGUUGUGAAAGCCCCGGGCUCAACCUGGGAACGGCAUCCGGAACUGUCAGGCUAGAGUGCAGGAGAGGAAGGUAGAAUUCCCGGUGUAGCGGUGAAAUGCGUAGAGAUCGGGAGGAAUACCAGUGGCGAAGGCGGCCUUCUGGACUGACACUGACGCUGAGGUGCGAAAGCGUGGGUAGCAAACAGGAUUAGAUACCCCGUAGUC
Molecule: ribosomal RNA, 464 nt
Filed under: Vreelandella stevensii
Lineage: Bacteria; Pseudomonadati; Pseudomonadota; Gammaproteobacteria; Oceanospirillales; Halomonadaceae
Description: partial 16S ribosomal RNA
Rfam family: Bacterial small subunit ribosomal RNA
Source: RNAcentral